UUUCUGCCACCGAAUACAUUAGCAUGGGAUAAUGGAAUAGGACCCUGUCCUCCUAUUUUCAGUUGGUUUUGGCAGCGCGAGGACUAGGGUAAUGAUUAAUAGGGAUAGUUGGGGGCAUUAAUAUUUAAUUGUCAGAGGUGAAAUUCUUGGAUUUAUGAAAGAUUAACUUCUGCGAAAGCAUCUGCCAAGGAUGUUUUCAUUAAUCAAGAACGAAAGUUAGGGGAUCGAAGACGAUCAGAUACCGUCGUAGUCUUAACCAUAAACGAUGCCGACCAGCGAUUAGGAGACGUUGAAUACAAAACACCACCAUCGGCGCGGUCGUCCUUGGCGUUCGUGUUCACGCACGAGCGCGAGGGCGGCUUAGCCCGAUGGCACCGGUGAAUGACUCCCCUAG
This 394-nucleotide ribosomal RNA is filed under the name Acanthamoeba genotype T4. RNAcentral's name for it is "SSU rRNA". The stretch from base 1 to 339 matches the Rfam family "Eukaryotic small subunit ribosomal RNA", at positions 786 to 1114 of the family's 1831-position model. Lineage: Eukaryota; Discosea; Longamoebia; Acanthamoebidae. The record is from RNAcentral.